RNAcentral lists this ribosomal RNA (477 nucleotides) under uncultured bacterium. RNAcentral's name for it is "bacterial SSU rRNA". It matches the Rfam family "Bacterial small subunit ribosomal RNA", at positions 501 to 981 of the family's 1533-position model. The record is from RNAcentral.
CUACGUGCCAGCAGCCGCGGUAAUACGGAAGGUCCAGGCGUUAUCCGGAUUUAUUGGGUUUAAAGGGAGCGUAGGCUGGAGAUUAAGUGUGUUGUGAAAUGUAGACGCUCAACGUCUGACUUGCAGCGCAUACUGGUUUCCUUGAGUACGCACAACGUUGGCGGAAUUCGUCGUGUAGCGGUGAAAUGCUUAGAUAUGACGAAGAACUCCGAUUGCGAAGGCAGCUGACGGGAGCGCAACUGACGCUKAAGCUCGAAGGUGCGGGUAUCGAACAGGAUUAGAUACCCUGGUAGUCCGCACAGUAAACGAUGGAUGCCCGCUGUUGGUACUUGGUAUCAGCGGCUAAGCGAAAGCAUUAAGCAUCCCACCUGGGGAGUACGCCGGCAACGGUGAAACUCAAAGGAAUUGACGGGGGCCCGCACAAGCGGAGGAACAUGUGGUUUAAUUCGAUGAUACGCGAGGAACCUUACCCGGGCU